Long non-coding RNA from Gasterosteus aculeatus aculeatus (three-spined stickleback), 433 nucleotides. The record is from Ensembl. Lineage: Eukaryota; Metazoa; Chordata; Actinopteri; Perciformes; Gasterosteidae.
GCAUGGUAGAAGGUGGUCUGGUGGAAGGUGGUCUGGUAGAAGGUGGUCUGGUGGAAGGUGGUCUGGUAGAAGGUGGUCUGGUGGAAGGGGCAUGGUGGAAGGUGGUCUGUUGGAAGGGGCAUGGUAGAAGGUGGUCUGGUGGAAGGGGCAUGGUGGAAGGUGGUCUGGUAGAAGGUGGUCUGGUGGAAGGUGGUCUGGUGGAAGAUGGUCUGGUAGAAGAUGGUCUGGUAGAAGGGGCAUGGUGGAAGGUGGUCUGGUGGAAGGGGCAUGGUGGAAGGUGGUCUGGUGGAAGGGGCAUGGUGGAAGAUGGUCUGGUAGAAGGGGCAUGGUGGAAGGUGGUCUGGUGGAAGAUGGUCUGGUAGAAGGUGGUCUGGUGGAAGGGGCAUGGUGGAAGGUGGUCUGGUGGAAGAUGGUCUGGUAGAAGGUGGUCUGG